Molecule: ribosomal RNA, 253 nt
Filed under: uncultured bacterium
Lineage: Bacteria
Description: partial 16S ribosomal RNA
Rfam family: Bacterial small subunit ribosomal RNA
Source: RNAcentral
CACGGGGGGAGCAAGCGUUGUUCGGAAUCACUGGGCGUAAAGGGCGUGUAGGCGGUCAAGUAAGUGGAAUGUGAAAUCCCCCGGCUUACCCGGGGACCGGCAUCCCAUACUGCUUGGCUUGAGUACGGGAGAGGAUGUGGGAAUUCCUGGUGUAGCGGUGAAAUGCGUAGAUAUCAGGAGGAACACCGGUGGCGAAGGCGGCAUCCUGGACCAUUACUGACGCUGAUGAGCGAAAGCCAGGGGAGCAAACGGG